Molecule: unclassified non-coding RNA, 432 nt
Filed under: Hevea brasiliensis (rubber tree)
Lineage: Eukaryota; Viridiplantae; Streptophyta; Magnoliopsida; Malpighiales; Euphorbiaceae
Source: RNAcentral
CUUCUUUUUCUCUUCUUCAUGCUUCCAGUCAAAGACUUAAAAUUAUUACUCGCAUUGAUCUUGUCAGCGUCCCCUAACACAACAGAUUUCUUCAGAUUAUCACCAUCUUCUUCAACUUCAUUUUCUUUGCUAUUGUGACCCAAAUCAGAGCUUUUGCUUUUAUGUUUUGAUGUGAAGCUUAUACUCUUUCUCAUGCAUGAAACCAACAAAUCAGACUCGGUGCUUUCAACCGAAAGUUUUGGGAUAGACUUCUUGCCUUUUGAAUCAGGGCUUGAAUCAUCCCCUGAAGCACUUAGUAGAGAAAUUAAACUGCUUGAGGACAGUCUUGCGCUAUGAGAAGAUGAUGAUCUCCGUCGCUUAGGUACUGUAACAGAUGCUACAUCAGUAGCCUUUGUUUUUUUAGCUUUCUGAUGCUCCGGUUCUGACUUUAUU